CCUGGUGAUUAUCGGGACAGCUGCCAUCAUCUCAAACACUGAAAUCUGCACAUUGACUCUAUGGUAGUGCACACACAGAGCUUCUUUUUUACUGGGGUUGUUAGCAGCACAGAAGGGAGAAUGAAGGUAAUUCACUGAAGGAUGUUUGGUCACUCUGAAAAUCUUGAGACUUUUUCUCAGUUGCAACUCCACUUACCUCAGUAGUUACACCAGAGAUAAUCUUGGUCUGCUGUUUGUCCUGUUGGUUUUGGGAAGCAUUAGAAGCCUGCUGUGUAUCUGUGGUACCCAUAGUCAGAAAAAACAAGGGCAAAAGUUAAUGAAGAAGGAGCAAUUGCAAAAAUUUCUAUGAUCCAAUUUCAUGGCUGCAGAUUUCCUCACAAACAGAAAGAAUUAGUGGAAUCCCCUACCCCACACAGGCCUACAGAAUUGGUUUUGCUAAAUAAAAAUGUGGGAAACACCUUCCUUCUUCUGUCUGAAGGGAGGGCUGUCAUGAUACUGCAUGCAGCCUCUCCCAGGGUUAGUACAGAUUUGUUCUGCUCCCAGUGUAACCAAAGCACCAAAUAAUCAGGGGAUGAGAAGUUUCUGCCCCUGGUUGUGGUUUGAAUGCAAAAGCAUGUUAGAGUAGGUUUGGUGUGGAAGCUGAAGGCAUCUCCUAGCCUUGCAAACAUUUCACUACAUACUUCUCAUCGCUAGAAGCCAAUCCAUGCUCUUUAUUUGUUGUUCUUUUCCCAUUUCUAUAUCAAUUCCAUCAAAUCAUCAGAUUGUCUCAGUGACAAGAAAAUGACUCAGACAUUGCAAAAUAAAGAGCUCAUCGGCGGAAGCCAUAAAUCUGCACUUGAUGACUGGCCACCAUUUCAAUCUUAAUGAGUCAGAAUGGUCUGAAGACCAUUUUGAGUGAUCUGUACCAUUAUCAAGAUGUUUAAAAGUUUGUCCCAGCAGUAUUUAAUAAUUAUGUCUUCCAACUGCUAUCUCAGACCAGAGAUUGCUAGCCAGGAGGCAAUUCUUAAUGAUUAAAAGGCUCAGGAAAGAAAAAAGAAAAAAGUCUCUUCAGG
Molecule: long non-coding RNA, 1052 nt
Organism: Oxyura jamaicensis (ruddy duck)
Lineage: Eukaryota; Metazoa; Chordata; Aves; Anseriformes; Anatidae
Exons: 2
Source: RefSeq, a predicted model, not a curated record